Molecule: small RNA, 27 nt
Filed under: Bombyx mori (domestic silkworm)
Lineage: Eukaryota; Metazoa; Arthropoda; Insecta; Lepidoptera; Bombycidae
Description: ovarian small RNA-34753
Source: RNAcentral
UGGCAGCGAUAACACUGCGCGGGCCCG